UCAAGCUAAGAAGAGCGCAAGGGGAAUGCCUUGGCAUCAGGAGCCGAAGAAGGACGUGACAAGCUGCGAUAAGCUGCGGUGAGGAGCAAAUAUCCUUUGACCCGCAGAUCUCCGAAUGGGGCAACCCGGCUGGACAAUAUCCAGUCAUCCUGCAUUGAACAAAAUAGGUGUAGGAAGGGAACCGUCUGAACUGAAACAUCUAAGUAGGACGAGGAAGAGACAUCAACCGAGAUUCCGCAAGUAGUGGCGAGCGAACGCGGAGGAGGCCAAACCGGAGGAAUAAUUCUCCGGGGUUGCGGACAGCUAUACGGAACAAUAGUUUAGCCGAACGGUCUGGGAAGGCCGGUCACAGAGGGUGAGAACCCCGUAGGCGAAAGACGAAUUGUUUCAGGCUGGAUCCAGAGUACCGCAGGACACGUGAAACCCUGUGGGAAACAGGGGGGACCACCCUCCAAGCCUAAAUACUACCUGAUGACCGAUAGAGGAGCAGUACCGUGAGGGAAAGGUGAAAAGGACCCCGGGAGGGGAGUGAAAGAGAACCUGAAACCUUGUGCUUACAAGCAGUCAAAGCACGUUAACGUGUGAUGACGUACUUUUUGUAGAACGGUCCGGCGAGUUAUAGUAACGAGCAAGCUUAAGGUAUUGAGUACCGGAGGCGAAGCGAGAGCGAGUCUGAAUAGGGCGUAAAGUUCGUUGCCAUAGACCCGAAACCGGGUGACCUAUCCAUGAGCAGGCUGAAGUGAGAGUAAAAUCUCAUGGAGGGCCGAACCGACCCCCGUUGCAAUGGUGGCGGAUGACUUGUGGAUAGCGGAGAAAUUCCAAUCGAACUCGGAGAUAGCUGGUUCUCCCCGAAAUAGCUUUAGGGCUAGCGUUAUGUUAGAUUACCGGAGGUAAAGCACUGAAUGGUAGCGGGGCCGAUAAGGUUACCAACGCCUAUCAAACUCUGAAUGCCGGCUAAUUGAUGCAUAGCAGUCAGACAGUGUGAGAUAAGUUUCAUUGUCAAAAGGGAAACAGCCCAGACCUACAGCUAAGGUCCCAAAUGUAUGCUAAGUGGAAAACGAUGUGGAAUUGCGAAAACAACCAGGAUGUUGGCUUAGAAGCAGCCACUCAUUAAAAGAGUGCGUAAUAGCUCACUGGUCGAGUGACUCUGCGCCGAAAAUUUAACGGGGCUAAAUCGUACACCGAAGCUUGGGAAUAUCAGUUAUUCUUCAUGGACUUGCUAAGGUAAGACACCAUGGCACGAAGUGCCAUCAAAUUGUCCAUAAGGAUAAAGCGAGCUUGUGAAGAAUAACUGAUAUUGGUAGGAGAGCGUUGAAUGCGGGGUGAAGUCAGAGCGAAAGCGCUGGUGGACUGCAUUGAAGUGAGAAUGCCGGAAUGAGUAGCGAGAUUUAUGUGAGAAUCAUAAAGGCCGAAAGACUAAGGUUUCAGAAGGAAGGUUCGUCCGCUUCUGGUUAGCCGGGAGCUAAGGUGAGGCCGAAAGGCGUAGCCGAUGCACAUACGGUGGAGAUUCCGUAGCCGUCGAAAUAUUUAAGCAAAGGGACACUUAUGAAGGACAUGACCCGGGCGAUGGUAGCCCCGGGCGUAAGGGACCGAAAACAAGUAGGGAAGCAUGUUUGGAUUAAGGCGAGAAAAGCUUUGUGUAUAUAUCAGACGUCCGUACCGCAAACCGACACAGGUAGUCAGGAAGAGGAUUCUAAGGCCAACGGGAGAAGGGUAGUUAAGGAACUCGGCAAAUUGACCCCGUAACUUCGGGAUAAGGGGCGGUGCGUAAGCACCCGCAGUGAAUAGGUCCAGGCGACUGUUUAUCAAAAACACAGCUCUCUGCUAAAUCGAAAGAUGACGUAUAGGGGGUGACACCUGCCCGGUGCUGGAAGGUUAAGAGGAAGGGUGCAAGCUCUGAAUUGAAGCCCCAGUAAACGGCGGCCGUAACUAUAACGGUCCUAAGGUAGCGAAAUUCCUUGUCGGGUAAGUUCC
RNAcentral lists this ribosomal RNA (1974 nucleotides) under human gut metagenome. Its description in RNAcentral is "bacterial LSU rRNA". It matches the Rfam family "Bacterial large subunit ribosomal RNA", at positions 3 to 1984 of the family's 2925-position model. The record is from RNAcentral.